AGCAGCAAGUUGGAACUGUUACGAACAAGGGGAAUCUAACUGGUUAAUUAAACCAUAGCAUUUCGCUUCAUCACAGCGGUGGCGAGUGGAAUGUGACUUCUGCCCAGUGCCCUGAAUGUCAACGCUGAGAGAUCAGGUUAAGCGCGGGUAAACGGCGGGAGUAACUAUGACUCUCUUAAGGUAGCCAAAUGCCUCGUCUUCUAAUUAAAGACGCGCAUGAAUGGACCAAUGAGAUUCCUUCUGUCCCUACCUACUAUCUGGCGAAACAGCAGUCAAGGGAACGGACUUGAAACUGUCAGCGGGGAAAGAAGACCCUGUUGAGUUUGACUCUAGUCUGACUUUGUGCAGUGACAUGAGAGGUGUAGUAUAGGUGGGAGGCCUGCCAACAAUGAAAUACCACUACUCUUAUCGUCGCUUUACUUAUCCAAUUAAGGGGGAACGGAGCCCGCUCGCAUCCGCGAGAAGGAUCCAUUCGGACCCGUGGGUCUUCCGAUUCCAGCGAUAAGCAGGCGUUAGCCUGUG
Molecule: ribosomal RNA, 522 nt
Filed under: Candidatus Scalindua sp.
Lineage: Bacteria; Pseudomonadati; Planctomycetota; Candidatus Brocadiia; Candidatus Brocadiales; Candidatus Scalinduaceae
Description: partial 23S ribosomal RNA
Rfam family: Eukaryotic large subunit ribosomal RNA
Source: RNAcentral